GCCUUCGUAGGGUAGUGGCCAGCACGCUGGACGUGCCACCGAAAGAUCCGUGGUUCGAUUCCCGGCGAAGGCG
Molecule: transfer RNA, 73 nt
Filed under: Stegodyphus mimosarum
Lineage: Eukaryota; Metazoa; Arthropoda; Arachnida; Araneae; Eresidae
Rfam family: tRNA
About the family: Transfer RNA (tRNA) molecules are approximately 80 nucleotides in length. Their secondary structure includes four short double-helical elements and three loops (D, anti-codon, and T loops).
Source: Rfam by way of RNAcentral